GAUGAACGCUGGCGGCGUGCCUAACACAUGCAAGUCGAACGGAAAGGCCAGGCGCUUGUGGGGCGGUCGAGAGGGGCACGCGGGAGAAAAACACGUGUAUAACGUACUUGACUUUGGGGUAAAUUUUCGAGACACGGGCUAAAACACGAUAGGAUAUACUGCAGCACGGGGGUGGUUAGAAAGUUUCGGCGGUUGGGGAUGGAAUAGCGGGUUAUGAGCUUGUUGGGGGGGUAGGGGCGUACCAAGGCUUUGACGGGUAGGCGGCCUGGGAGGGUGACCGGCCACAUUGGGCCUGCGAUACGGCCCAGACUCCUACGGGAGGCAGCAGUGGGGAAUAUUGCGCAAUGGGCGGAAGCCUGAUGCAGCAACGCCGCGUGCGGGAUGACGGCCUUCGGGUUGUAAACCGCUUUCGCCUGUGACGAAGCGUGAGUGACGGUAAUGGGUAAAGAAGCACCGGCUAACUACGUG
RNAcentral lists this ribosomal RNA (468 nucleotides) under uncultured bacterium. RNAcentral's name for it is "partial 16S ribosomal RNA". It matches the Rfam family "Bacterial small subunit ribosomal RNA", at positions 28 to 507 of the family's 1533-position model. The record is from RNAcentral.